This 86-nucleotide transfer RNA is filed under the name Claviceps pusilla. It matches the Rfam family "tRNA". Rfam says of the family: Transfer RNA (tRNA) molecules are approximately 80 nucleotides in length. Their secondary structure includes four short double-helical elements and three loops (D, anti-codon, and T loops). Lineage: Eukaryota; Fungi; Ascomycota; Sordariomycetes; Hypocreales; Clavicipitaceae. RNAcentral also lists the same sequence under 1 other name. The record is from Rfam by way of RNAcentral.
GCCGCAGUCGUCUAGGGGUCAGGACACUAGUUUGUGGUCAUCAAUCUCAAACACUGGAAACCGAGGUUCGAGUCCUCGCUGCGGCA